UACGGGGGGACCAAGCGUUGUUCGGAUUUACUGGGCGUAAAGGGCGCGUAGGCGGCAUGACAAGUCACUUGUGAAAUCUCCGGGCUUAACUCGGAACGGCCAAGUGAUACUGUCAAGCUAGAGUGCAGAAAGGGCAAUCGGAAUUCUUGGUGUAGCGGUGAAAUGCGUAGAUAUCAAGAGGAACACCUGAGGCGAAGGCGGGUUGCUAGGCUGACACUGACGCUGAAGCGCGAAAGCCAGGGGAGCAAACGGG
RNAcentral lists this ribosomal RNA (253 nucleotides) under uncultured bacterium. RNAcentral's name for it is "partial 16S ribosomal RNA". It matches the Rfam family "Bacterial small subunit ribosomal RNA", at positions 524 to 776 of the family's 1533-position model. The record is from RNAcentral.